Long non-coding RNA from Megalobrama amblycephala (Wuchang bream), 947 nucleotides. RefSeq lists it as uncharacterized. NCBI's taxonomy places the organism in Eukaryota, Metazoa, Chordata, Actinopteri, Cypriniformes, Xenocyprididae. The transcript is spliced from 2 exons. The record is from RefSeq and is a predicted model, not a curated record.
UCUCUGGUUCCUUGUAACGACAUUCACCUCAUACACCGAUCACAUUCAGGCUACGGCAGCAGCAGUAGUGUGCAGUUGCUCCAACACGCCUCUGUGUAUCAACAGCUUCUGUGGAAGAAGGAGGUUACGAGAAUGAACAACCUAGUGAAGUGCUAGGAUCAAGAGGGUCGCAGUAGGAGACAUGCCAGUUUUAGCCCUCCGCCGCCAGCCCAUGCUCUCCCCCCUUCAUCUGUUGCGGUGCUGACGGACACUACGCAGACUGGGGGUGUUGGCCUUGAACUUGCCUUUCCCUCCCCCUCUGCAUUCUCCCCCAUUCACUCACAGCUGCGUCUGCUACAGUUCCCUAGGCAACCGUUAUGCUGCCUGCCUAGCAACUGGUUCCCCCCCACCCCCCCCCUCUCUCCUUGCAGAUAGAGAGGGGUUGAUGAGGGGUGCUGGGAGAGACAAAGAACCCAAAGUGUGUUUAUCUAAUGUGGAUCAUGGAACAGGAAGCAGCGUAGGCAUCCUCUGUGAAGCUGUAUUGUCUACUUGCCGGUCCACUAGUAGAUCUGAGAUCCAAGGAGAGCAGAUGUUAGUAGUUAUGAGUGGGGCCAAUAUUAUGAAAUCCAGCCUCAUUCAUAAAAGCAGAACACCUAAUAAAAAUUACACCUCAGUGUUUCAAAUCAAGACCAUCUUUAUGUUGUUGAUGUGCAUAAUGUUAUUUUUGUAGUUGAAGUACAGGUUAAAAACACAAAUUCUAUUACAUCAUAGUUACCAGCCAACCAAUAAAUGUGUAAAAAAAAAAAAAAAAAAAAAGCUUGGUAGUGCCCCCACAUGGUAACAUUUGAUACAUGAGGCAUGUUAAGUGUUUUAUAAUUACUUAAACAAAUAAUUAGGUGUUGAUUAAAUAAUUAAGUGUUGUUAAUAAUGAUUUAUACAUAAUAAAAAUUACUGUGUCUGUUAAAAAA